Molecule: long non-coding RNA, 5164 nt
Organism: Topomyia yanbarensis
Lineage: Eukaryota; Metazoa; Arthropoda; Insecta; Diptera; Culicidae
Exons: 2
Source: RefSeq, a predicted model, not a curated record
CACCUGCCUAAUCAGCGUCUUGUAGAUAAUCAACUUCGUACGGCGGCGAAUUUUGUUCGACCGGAGCGUCCUCCGCAGUCCAAAGUAGGCACGAUUUCCCGCCAAGAUCCGUCUCUGUGAAUUUCUCUGCGGGUAUCAUGGUCGGCGGUUACCAGUGAGCCCAAAUACACGAAUUCGUCGACCAUCUCGAUUUCGUCACCGUCAAUCCGAACUCGGAAUGGGAGGUUCACAUUGUCGUCUCUAGAACCUCUUCCUCUCAUGUAUUUUGUCCUCGAAACGUUGAUGGCAACUCGAAUCUUGCUGGCUUCAGCUUUCAGUCUGAUGUACAUUUCUGACAUCUCCAUCGACUUUGAGUUCCGUGCCAUUAUGUCAAUGUCGUCGGCGAAGCCAAGAAGCUGGACGGACUUUCUUAAGAUCGUGCCACUCAUGUCUAUCACCGCCCUCCUUAUUACACCUUCUAACGCAACGUUGAACAGCAGGCACGAUAGACUAUCACCUUGCUGUAACCCUCUUCGAGAUUCAAAGGGACUCGAGAGUGUCCCUGAUAUUCGAACAACGCACAUCACACGAACCAUCGUCGCUUUGACUAAUCGUGUUAGCUUAGCCGGAAAACCGUACUCGUGCAUUAUCUGCCAUCCCCAAGCAACACUUGUAACAUGUAAUGGCUGCAGUUUGUUGCAUAACCAUAAACUUUUGCUGGUGCGCUUUUUCAGUUGCUAAAUCAGUUGAAACCAUUUAUGUACGCUUCUUUUCAACAAGUUUUGUUGUAGAAACUGCUAAUCAACAAGCGGUGUUGCUCGGGAAGCUGCUCUCGAUCGAUUUGAAAUCGGUGAACAAAUGAUGUGUGGGCACGUUGUAUUCGCAGUACUUCUGCAGUGUCACCCAGCCGCCCAAUUUUUGCAGUGCGAACGACGGGAGGUUCUCCGAGCAACUGUCGUAACUCGUGAUUCAUACGCCGUCUCCAAAUUUCGAUAUUCAUUCACAACAUCUGUCUUCUGUAAAAAAAAAACUGAGAGCGCGUUGGUUCUACGCCACCAUACUCUGGUUUCGUCAACCUACACCAUACUCGUUGGUUUCGUGGCCGUAGGGGACAACCGGUCUAAUGAACGUUUUAUAGAUGUUUGGACUCGUGUGGUACUUUGUUCGACCGAAAGGUUUUUCGAAGCUCAAGGUAAGCACGAUUGCCUACAUGAUUACGCCUCAAACUCUUCUGCGUCCACCUUUGAGGAAAACCAUGUACGGUCGUCAUAGCGCAGUUGCCGGACUUCAGCGGGUUUUCAAUAGAGUUACACCAGCAUUUGUCACAAAAUACGAUUAAAAAUAAGUGUUUGUCUAUCAUGAAGUGCAACUAGAUUAAGUACCACAAUUGGGAUCAAGGGGGUAUUUUGGUUCAAAUACAAAAAAUAAAAAUAUCGCGUGAUGUCAACGUUGACGGUGAAGCCAAAAAGCUAAACAGACUUCCGGAAAAUCGCACCACUCGUGUCAAUCCUCGCUCUUCUUAUCACGCCUUCCAAAGCGAUACUGAACGGAAGACAAGAGAGUCCAUCAUCUUGCCGUAGCCCUUUACGAAUUUGUGUUCCAGAUACUCGUACGUAAUAGAUCACUCGAUCCAUUGUCACUUUGAUGUCGUUCAGUUUGUAUGGGAACUAGUACUUAUUUAUUAUAUGCCAUAGCAGGUGAUGAGUAGGCACGUUCUAUUAGCGACAUUUUUGUAGGACUUGUCGAUUCCCGAAUAUUGGCUUUGUAGUGACGUGUGCAUUAGUGAGACCCUCUUGAUAUUGUCCUAAGAACUCCUUUGCUAACGGUAACAGGUGGAGACAAAGAAUUUGGGAGAGCACCUUGUAGGCGGCGUUAAACAAAGUGAUUGCCUUGGUAGUUGCCACAAUCCAGUUUGUCAUCCAAUUUAUAGAUAGGAAUUACUACUCCCUCUAACGAAUACUUCGGUAAAGUCUUCUGGUACCAGAUAUUCGGAAUCACCCAGUGGAGCGUUCUAUCCAAUGCUUCUCCCCUGUGUUUGAGCCGCUCUCAUGGCAGUUGAUCAUUGCUAGAUGAUCGCACUGCGAUAAGUGCGAACAUGUGUGAUGUCGAAGAGGAAUUUCUCUUUGAUUAGAACGUGGUAUGUGGGGAAAAAAGCUGCUUCGGACUACAAUUGCUCGGGAGGCUUCGAAGUUCACGCAUCGUUAGUGGUUAUCAUUUGAAACGAUGCGAAGCAUGAUCCAACUACCUGGACACCAAUAUUGUACGGCGAAGAAGAAGGAGCAAACACGGACGAUUGGCAAGCGACUAACGACAAGCUCGCAAAAAGAUGGGUAAAACAGUACCUCCCGAACUAUCUGGGCGUUCUCGUAGUCAACAUCUUAACUCCUCGCCGAGGGCAGUUGUAGACACGAUCCAACUGCGCGUAAAAUGCAUCUUUCUCGUCCUCCUGUCUCGAUAAGUGAAGUCAAUGCACGACGAUAAUGCUGUAGUUGAACAAAAGGUUUUUAAUAUUCACUACACACAUACUUUCGAUAAUCACCUGUCAUUUGAUAACGCAUUAACGUAUCUUGCCCAACACAACAAUGGUUACCACCUCAGCUCAUUUGUUGUGCCACCGCUCUGGUAGAAUGUAGUCCAUUGUCCACACCUUCAGUUUCCGUCAAAGAACGUUCCUGCAAUGUUAUGCAAUGAAGCGACUUGUAGUUCCAAGUUUCCAAUUGUAGUCCUUCUUUCGUCGCGUUGGUCUUUGUCGAUUGUUUUGUUUCAAACGAUAGUUUAGGUAUUCAUACGAAUUUUGAAACCGAGUCUUAUGCGUCUGUUAUAUGCGGUUUAUCUAACAAACACACUACCCAUAAUCGCACAUUUAUCUCAUGUUCUAUGGGAUUUAGUAUUGACUUUCGAUUAUAAGCAGUGCAUAACUGUGAUAUGUAAGUAAAGCAAAAACUAAUUUUAUGUUUCUCUUCUUUCGUCCUAACAGUGUACCGUUCUUAAAUCAUGUGGUGAAGAAACUGUGAUUGCCAUCAAGAACAACACAGCUGCCGACAAAAACUAAUACCUCGCCCGUUGCUUACUACAACAUCCCGCGAAUUGCAACCACACGACACACAGAUAAGAGUAAUCAAAACAGAAAAGUUCAGCAAAAUUCAACUACUACUUACUACUAUUGAGCUACAACAAAAACAACACAGUCACGACAGAGGAAUCUAUUAUUGCAAAAAAACGUUCCUCCCCUUCUAUUCACAAUUUGAGAAAUAAAACCAGACAAAAGAUCAGACUCAUUAACAGCAAGAAGAAACACUCAAAUACACAAACACACACACACACAGUUACAACUCUUAGUAUACAGCUAUUAUUGCAAAUUAAAGGAAAACCAAUAUUAAGAUAAUACUUUCUGGAUAAAGUAAUCAAACGAGGUGAGAAGACCAUUACGCAGCAGCAAAAAAUACACACUCAAAAACUAAGCAGCGGCUUUCACGAGACGAGACACACAUACACAACCAAUCCAUGUCGGGUGCAGAGAAUGAGAGAGAGCGAGAGACAGACACAGAAGAGCGCGUGUUCAGCGUUGGUAAGAGCAAGAGAAAAAGUUCCCCUUUUUUGUAAACUGCUACAACAAAAACCAACGUCAGAAGGGCAAGAAAAAUCGAAACACAUUAAUUAUUAUAAUAAAUUUAAAGAAAAACAAAAACCAAUAUAAUAUAAUAAAAAUAUUAUAAUAAUUUAAUGCAAACAAGAAACAAAAUCAAUAAUUGAAGGAAAUUAUCCGUGACACACACACAAAAGGCAGAAUGCAUUCAGAACACUCUAGGUAGCGAGAUUACAAGCAAAACAAGGAGAAGGGCUGACAAACAUCUUAUUCCAAACGCGAAACAAAAUUUAACAGAAUGCUAUGUUGAAUAAAAUAUUUAAUUUUCUAACAAAAAAAAGAAGAGAAAACUACGUUGUCAACACAAAACAAUUGGCUUAUUUCGAUUCAAAGAAAGCUCAUGAAGGCAGUUGCUAGACAAAACUGUCAUUAAAUAACACUUAGGUAUUGGUCUCUGCUGCCAUGUUGGAAGAAAUGAUCACUCACUGUUGAUUUAGGAUGGUAAUUCUGCGUACGCUUGUGACAAAAGUCGUCUUCUUCAUUAGAUCCAACCCAUCACGGCACACACGCUGACUCCGAAGCAGUGUAGUAGAAGAGUGUGGUCAUCCGAUGCCAAAUGCACGAAAAACAGGAAAACAAUACAAUUGAUCAUCGAAGAUGUACAGCGUGCAUGAAAUAUGCUAAAACCCCCUUCCAACCCAGCAAGCAAGCAGUCCCCCAAUGAAAAGAGUGUUCCGAUGCCGGCAAUUACGGACACGACUAAAUGCGCGAAAGGUUUGGAGAUUCAAGAUGGACAAGAAAACAAAUACCGGCUACUAUAAGUGAAUUAGGAAGAAAAUAAUUGAAGUGGGAAACAAAGAUGACUAUUAAUUAAUAAAAAAAACAAAAGAAGAAAAUAAAAACUGUAAUAGGAUAACUAAAGAAAUUAAUACUGAAUGUAACAACAACAAAACAAGAAUGCGUUGAAUGUUAUUAUAUAAAGGAAGCAAUCUUUUCUACAAUCCUAUUGGUUAGUGACAACAGAGGUUCAGCUAAAAAUUUAGUUCGUAUUUAUUUUCGUUUCAAAACAGUAUCAAUUCUCUGUAUAUUGUAGUUUUAACCAGUUUAUUAAAAAUAGCUCAUACAGGUUUUGGUUUUAUACCUUGUACUCAAAAUUUUUUCACACUGCCCUUUCUGUCACACGUAAAAAACGCAGUUGAAGCCUAAUCUGUUUGAAAAUUCCUCACUGUCGGAAUAAAAGUUUGUUUCUUCGAGAUGGUAACAAAGCAAAAAUUUUAACGUACAUACAUGAGUUGGCAUUUAUUUUAGAUAGUUUCAGUUUAGUUUUAAAGCAGUGCUAAAAUAAGACUUAGCAAACUAACAAAAAGCAAACAAAUCUAAAGGAAAUAGUACCGCGCUUACAGACUUAAUCCGGCUGCUUCUUAUUUUUGUAAUAAUAUCGGCUCAGCAGAAAUCAAAGAUGCUGAACAGAAGCACACAAAUGCAUGCAAAUGACAGUCAAAAGUUGUUGGUAAAACGAAAAAAAACAAACCUAAGAAAAAAUGUUUUUGACGGUGAAAACGGCGAAAUAAAUUCGAAAAAUGAAAUACAAACCUGGAA